CGCGGGGUGGAGCAGUUCGGUAGCUCGUCGGGCUCAUAACCCGAAGGUCAUAGGUUCAAAUCCUAUCCCCGCAACCA
RNAcentral lists this transfer RNA (77 nucleotides) under Oscillospiraceae bacterium. Its description in RNAcentral is "tRNA-Met". It matches the Rfam family "tRNA". Rfam says of the family: Transfer RNA (tRNA) molecules are approximately 80 nucleotides in length. Their secondary structure includes four short double-helical elements and three loops (D, anti-codon, and T loops). Further hydrogen bonds mediate the characteristic L-shaped molecular structure. tRNAs have two regions of fundamental functional importance: the anti-codon, which is responsible for specific mRNA codon recognition, and the 3' end, to which the tRNAs corresponding amino acid is attached (by aminoacyl-tRNA synthetases). tRNAs cope with the degeneracy of the genetic code in two manners: having more than one tRNA (with a specific anti-codon) for a particular amino acid; and 'wobble' base-pairing, i.e. permitting non-standard base-pairing at the 3rd anti-codon position. The record is from RNAcentral. Lineage: Bacteria; Bacillati; Bacillota; Clostridia; Eubacteriales; Oscillospiraceae.